GACGAACGCUGGCGGCGUGCUUAACACAUGCCAGUCGAACGGAAAGGCCCUGCUUUUGUGGGGUGCUCGAGUGGCGAACGGGUGAGUAACACGUGAGUAACCUGCCCUUGACUUUGGGAUAACUUCAGGAAACUGGGGCUAAUACCGGAUAGGAGCUCCUGCUGCAUGGUGGGGGUUGGAAAGUUUCGGCGGUUGGGUCUGGACUCGCAGCUUAUGAGCUUGUUGGUGGGGUAGUGGCUUACCAAGGCUUUGACGGGUAGCCGGCCUUGGAGGUGGACCGGCGACCUGGGGACUGAGAUACGGACCAGUCGCCUACGGGAGGCAGCAGUGGAGAAUAUGGCGCAAUGGGCGGAAGCCUGAGACAGCAACGCCGCGUGCGGGAUGACGGCCUUCGGGUUGUAAACCGCUGUCGCCUGUGACGAAGCGUGAGUGACGGUAAUGGGUAAAGAAGCACCGGCUAACUACGUG
Molecule: ribosomal RNA, 468 nt
Filed under: uncultured bacterium
Lineage: Bacteria
Description: partial 16S ribosomal RNA
Rfam family: Bacterial small subunit ribosomal RNA
Source: RNAcentral